CCAUGAUGACUAAGAACCCAAUUUGUCCUAUAUCUCACAUUUUUAUUAGAAGGGAGCAUGCUUCACAUGAUUGGUUGCUCCUUGUCACUUCAUGGAUUUUAUUUGUAGAGGACAAUUGUUUCGCUUGAAAUUCCAAUGGAUAAUCUAGGUUCUUUAGAGAUCAAAUCCAAGCCAUUGAAUUGGCCCAAAAAGAAUAAGGACCGUUGAUUCAAGGCAGAGGGCCCCACCAUCACUUGAUCAUAGGGCCAUGCAUGUGACAUUAGAGUGAGGCCGCCCAUGUGGUUUGCAUGUACAUCAUGUCCCCUGAGCAAGGCCAUGGAUGUGGGAAAGUCCAUGCAAUGAAGUAGGGCACCAUCUCUGUAUCUAUCCAUCUUGAUACCUAAAAGUAAGGGAACUCAACACUCUAUGUUGUGGCUCGUUGCCAGGUGAAACACUUUUAGGUCAUUCAUAUCCUUGCUCUCUCUCUUUUUUUUUUGGUGUUUACAUGAUAUUUAACAAAAAUAUAACUCAAGACAUCAUGUUGUAGUCCGUCACAUCCUACAUGCUAUAUCAUCACACACGGUUUCACACUUAAUAUUUGUUUGGAAAAAGUUCGGCUUUAGAAGCAAAACUUCCAAAAUUGCGGCACAAUGUUUUUUUAUACCCACAUACAUUGAAGUCUUAUCUCAUUUCUCUCUCUCUCUCCAUGCAAACACAUGCUGAAGUCCUCUCUCUCUCAUAUCACACAUACACCAGAGUCUUAUCACAUGUUUUCUCUACCUCUCUCUCUGUAACAUAUUCUUGUCGUCUCUCUCACUUCACACAUAAACCAAAGUCUAUCUAAUUUUUCUCUAUUUCACAUCAUUUCUUUUCUCUUUCUCUCUUUUUUGGGUAAAUCAGCAAGGAAGUGGUCAUCUCUCAGUAAAAAUGAAAUUCAAUACAUGUGGAACCCAGCUACUAAAGACUUAUACCUUACUCAUUCCUGCAACAUUUCUACUUUCCUCUCUCUCUAACACGAGCUGAUCCUGACUUUUCAUUGCGACGUACUUAUCCACUCUGAGUGCCCUUGCCUUCCCAUUUUAAAAACAUGUUUAUACCAUAUAUGCAACAUGUGUAUCUCAAUGUCAUGUCCCAAUACUCUAAUUAUUGCUAUCGUGUUGUGAAAACAACAAACAAACAUUAUACACAUGACACUACACCAGAGAGAUGUGGUUGGAUAGGUCUCUCACCCCCCCUUCUUUCCUCCAACUCCCAACUCUCUCCUCUCUCUCUCUCUCUCUCUCACAGAUUGUCCCCCCCUCCCCCUCUCUCAACGUGAUGGUUUUGGAGCUAGUUUUUCCAACUUUUUUUUUUUAUGUCAAUGGAGAAACACCAUUGUGUUAUUAUGUUUUUUUUUUAUUCGCGUAUAUGUUAUGUAUGAUACUAGGCAUUGAUUUAAAAAGCGAAUCAGUGACCCCAAAAACUGAUGCGAAUCGGUGACCCUGAUUGAGUACCCCGAAAACUGGUAUGGAUAAGUGAAUCAAGAUCGUUGCUUUACUGUGCAGAAAAAACAAUGAAC
Molecule: long non-coding RNA, 1537 nt
Filed under: Amborella trichopoda
Lineage: Eukaryota; Viridiplantae; Streptophyta; Magnoliopsida; Amborellales; Amborellaceae
Description: long non-coding RNA (ATRI_LNC003408)
Source: RNAcentral